GUCUGUGUGUGUGUGUGUGUGUUUGUGUGUGUGUGUGUGUGCUGCAGUGUGUCCCUGUGUGUGUAACAACCAUAGUGUGUGUGUGCGCUGUGUACGAGCCUAGGAGCAUUUUACUAAUUAUCUGUU
Long non-coding RNA from Etheostoma spectabile (orangethroat darter), 126 nucleotides. RefSeq lists it as uncharacterized. Lineage: Eukaryota; Metazoa; Chordata; Actinopteri; Perciformes; Percidae. The record is from RefSeq and is a predicted model, not a curated record. The transcript has 3 exons.